Molecule: ribosomal RNA, 442 nt
Filed under: uncultured bacterium
Lineage: Bacteria
Description: partial 16S ribosomal RNA
Rfam family: Bacterial small subunit ribosomal RNA
Source: RNAcentral
CCUACGGGCGGCAGCAGUGGGGGAUAUUGCACAAUGGGGGCAACCCUGAUGCAGCGACGCCGCGUGGGCGAAGAAGUAUUUCGGGAUGUAAAGUUCUAUCAGCAGGGAAGAAGAAAUGACGGUACCUGACUAAUAAGCCCCGGCUAACUACGUGCCAGCAGCCGCGGUAAUACGUAUGUGGCAAGCGUUAUCCGGAUUUACUGGGUGUAAAGGGCGCGUAGCCGGGUUGACAAGUCAGAUGUGAAAGCCUGCGGCUCAACCGCAGGACUGCAUUUGAAACUAUCGAGCUGGAGUACCGGAGAGGCAGGCGGAAUUCCUAGUGUAGCGGUGAAAUGCGUAGAUAUUAGGAGGAACACCAGUGGCGAAGGCGGCCUACUGGACGGUGACUGACGCUGAGGCGCGAAAGCGUGGGGAGCAAACAGGAUUAGAUACCCGAGUAGUC